Molecule: long non-coding RNA, 1405 nt
Organism: Maniola jurtina (meadow brown)
Lineage: Eukaryota; Metazoa; Arthropoda; Insecta; Lepidoptera; Nymphalidae
Exons: 2
Source: RefSeq, a predicted model, not a curated record
CGGCGAGCGCCGGCACAGACAGGGUCCAUACUUGUAUAUUUUAACUAUCUUGUUACAAAUAACUACAAACUUGACAUUGGCUAAUCUUUGUAAAGCCAGACGAGAGAGGAAAAAAAAAGUACUUUUAAGUGUCAUUGCAUUUGCCUAGUAGUUUUUCGGAUUUUAGUUAUUAUAAUAUAACUUCUAAAUACUCUUUUAAGGUUAAGUUUCUCCAAAAUCGCCUAUACUGAAUGCCAAAAAUCAUUCACUUAUAUUUAGGAUUUAGUUUAUAGUACCAUUUUACUUCUGGGUGUGCACCAGUGUUGCCAACUCUUUAAAACCGUUUGUUGCUAUGAGGCCUUCGAAAAGUCGCUAGAUGUUGCCAGAUGUAGAAAAAGUUCUGGAAAUCAGAAUAGAAAACCAAUAGAAAAUAGAAACCAGACCAACCAGAAUAGAAAAACAAAUGAAAUGACGAUUUUUUUUUUUCAUAAAAUCAAACUUUAUUGCAUUUUCAUAUUCUCAAAUAUGAACAUCAAGGAACUGACUUUUAGAAGCAAGUCCUAAUUCUGAGGUACAAGUAAUCUGUAACACCUUGACAUUUCAUGGGUAAUUUUUUUUUUACCAAAUCACAAAAGUCGCUAAAUAUUUUUUAAUUGGUAAAAGUGAAAAAAGUACACAGAUAUGAACAUAUAUAAGUAUGCUAGAGACGUUGUAGUGUACAGAAUGACAGUUAUUUUUAAUCCAUUGAAGGUUUCCUUUCAAAAAUGUUUUUAAUAUCACUCAGUAAAGCAGCAAUGUAGAACCAAGCAAUGUCAAAUGAGCUCGAAGGCUAUUAUUGCUAUCGGGGUAUAAUUGUGCUCCCAAAUAUAAAUUGAUGUGACUAAAAUUCAAGCCGUCCUAUUCUGUACAAAGAGCAUUUUGAUAAAAAUUACACUUUUUUUUGUCUUUCUAGUAGUAGUAGUUGAUUUCUUUGUCCCUACUACAAAAAAAUUGUCAUAUCUAUUCAUCUAUGUUUAAGAAGUACCUUUUUACUAUAUCAAAUUGAUUUUUGAAAGAAUACAUACAUUUACAUAUUAUUUAUUUACUAUUGGAACUAUUGUCUGCGGAGGACAAAAUGGAUCAACUGCAUUACAUAUCGCAUACGAUGGACUUAUAUACGGCAAAACAUCGUAGUAAAAGAUGAGGGACUUUUGUCCUUCGCGGACAAUAGUCCGUCGUCUGCGCAGGCCCUUAUUAGUAAGACUUAAAAUAAAGUACAGGAAAACAAUAACAAAUUGUAAAGAAAUUAAAACAAAAACAACUGUUUGACGAAAAUAACUAUUAAUCACUUUUGCAGAAGCCUACGCAUCCUUAAACAAUGAAAAUUACAAAUAUAUUAUGCAUAUUAUAUGAAAAAAUUACCAUACCUCUACGCAAUGGUGCACCU